CUCGGCAGACCAACAUGCAGUCGAACGGUAACAGGAAGCAGCUUGCGUGCUUCGCUGACGAGUGGCGGACGGGUGAGUAAUGUCUGGGAAACUGCCUGAUGGAGGGGGAUAACUACUGGAAACGGUAGCUAAUACCGCAUAACGUCGCAAGACCAAAGAGGGGGACCUUCGGGCCUCUUGCCAUCGGAUGUGCCCAGAUGGGAUUAGCUAGUAGGUGGGGUAACGGCUCACCUAGGCGACGAUCCCUAGCUGGUCUGAGAGGAUGACCAGCCACACUGGAACUGAGACACGGUCCAGACUCCUACGGGAGGCAGCAGUGGGGAAUAUUGCACAAUGGGCGCAAGCCUGAUGCAGCCAUGCCGCGUGAAUGAAAAACGCCUUCGGGUUGCACCUGACUUUCUACGGCCAUCAACGAAACUCAGGCUUGCCCUUAUCUCAUGCAGUUCCCAGGUUGAGCCCGGCGAUUUCACAUCUGACUUAACAAACCGCCUGCGUGCGCUUUACGCCCAGUAAUUCCGAUUACGCUUGCACCCUCCGUAUUACCGCGGCUGCUGGCACGAAGUUAGCCGGUGCUUCUUCUGCGGGUAACGUCAAUGAACACAGGUAUUAACUUUACUCCCUUCCUCCCCGCUGAAAGUACUUUACAACCCGAAAGGCCUUCUUCAUACACGCGACAUGGCUGCAUCAGGCUUGCGCCCAUUGUGCAAUAUUGCCCCACUGCUGCCUCCCGUAGGAGUCUGGACCGUGGUCUCAGUUCCAGUGUGGGCUGGUCAUCCUCUCAACCAACUAGGGAUCUGCGCCUAAGUGAGGCGGUUAUCCCCGCCUACUAGCUUAUCCCAUCCUCGGCACAGUCCGAUAGGACAGACGCUUAAAGUGCUCCCCUCCUUUUUUUGCUUUGUGACACUGUAUGCAGGCGUUAGCUAACCAGUGUUCUACUAGUUUAUUCCCCCCUCCAUCAAGACAGUAUUCUCGCAGAUGUAUUCACCGGUACGUCAGUCAUCAACCGAACAGCACUCGGUUACUUGUUAGCCAAUCGACUGCAUGUGAUAUGCCGAGCUGAUCUGUAGCGACAAAAACGCUG
This 1081-nucleotide ribosomal RNA is filed under the name uncultured Escherichia sp. RNAcentral describes it as "partial 16S ribosomal RNA". The stretch from base 3 to 362 matches the Rfam family "Bacterial small subunit ribosomal RNA", at positions 40 to 399 of the family's 1533-position model. The record is from RNAcentral. Lineage: Bacteria; Pseudomonadati; Pseudomonadota; Gammaproteobacteria; Enterobacterales; Enterobacteriaceae.